Molecule: ribosomal RNA, 492 nt
Filed under: uncultured bacterium
Lineage: Bacteria
Description: partial 16S ribosomal RNA
Rfam family: Bacterial small subunit ribosomal RNA
Source: RNAcentral
AGUGAACGCUGGCGGUAGGCCUAACACAUGCAAGUCGAACGGCAGCACAGUAAGAGCUUGCUCUUACGGGUGGCGAGUGGCGGACGGGUGAGGAAUACAUCGGAAUCUACUUUUUCGUGGGGGAUAACGUAGGGAAACUUACGCUAAUACCGCAUACGACCUACGGGUGAAAGCAGGGGAUCUUCGGACCUUGCGCGAUUGAAUGAGCCGAUGUCGGAUUAGCUAGUUGGCGGGGUAAAGGCCCACCAAGGCGACGAUCCGUAGCUGGUCUGAGAGGAUGAUCCGCCACACUGGAACUGAGACACGGUCCAGACUCCUACGGGAGGCAGCAGUGGGGAAUAUUGGACAAUGGGCGCAAGCCUGAUCCAGCCAUACCGCGUGGGUGAAGAAGGCCUUCGGGUUGUAAAGCCCUUUUGUUGGGAAAGAAAAGCAGCAGGUUAAUACCCCGCUGUUCUGACGGUACCCAAAGAGUAAGCACCGGCUAACUUCGUG